GACGAACGCUGGCGGCGUGCUUAACACAUGCAAGUCGAACGCUGAAGCCCUCUCGGGGGUGGAUGAGUGGCGAACGGGUGAGUAACACGUGGGUAAUCUGCCCUGUACUUCGGGAUAAGCCUUGGGAACGGGUCCUAAUACCGGCUAGGACCUGUCCGCGCAUGGGGGUGGGCGGUAAGUGCCGGCGGUAUGGGAGGAGCCCGCGGCCUAUCAGCUUGUUGGUGGGGUAGUGGCCUACCAAGGCGACGACGGGUAGCCGGCCUGGGAGGGUGACCGGUCACACUGGGACUGAUACACGGCCCAGACUCCUACGGGAGGCAGCAGUGGGGAAUCUUGCGCAAUGGGCGAAAGCCUGACGCAGCAACGCCGCGUGGGGGAUGACGGCCUUCGGGUUGUAAACCUCUUUCGACAUCGACGAAGGGGCCCUGUUGUGGGGUUUUGACGGUAGGUGUAGAAGAAGCACCGGCUAACUACGUGCCAGCCGCCGCAGUAA
RNAcentral lists this ribosomal RNA (493 nucleotides) under uncultured bacterium. RNAcentral's name for it is "partial 16S ribosomal RNA". It matches the Rfam family "Bacterial small subunit ribosomal RNA", at positions 28 to 523 of the family's 1533-position model. The record is from RNAcentral.